CGUAAUGUUUCUUUUUUUCUGAAAAUUUCAAAGAAAUAAGUACGAUCAAGGAGACGGUGAUACGAUCGGUCGGCCAAAAAUGUUAGUUUCAGGAUCCUUGGUAUUUUUACUAUGGUUUCCAUUAAAUCACUGGAAAAUCUGUUCCAGUGCCUAGCGGCAUGGUCGCCACGCCAGAGGAGAAUAAAGAGGGGCUUAUUAUAAGCGACGUUAAUUCUCGAAUAAAUAACCGCGGGCUUGCGCGAAGAUCGAGAAGAGAAAGAGGGUUGUUCUAAGAAUAAGAAGGAGAGAGAGAAACACAGAAAGAAAGAGAGAGAGAGAGAAAAGGUGAGUAAAGAUUGAACUUGGAAAGAACGAUGAAAGAGAAGGAAGGAAGGAAGGAAGAGAGGGAAGAAACGGAAAAGGGAUGAGAAUGUAGGUGGUUGAUUUAUUUCGGCGCCGCAAAGAUCUGGAUUCGCGUACGUGUCUCGUGCUUCAAAUUACCAACUUAUAAACUCUCUUCUUCUCUCUUUCUUUCUUCUGGAAACCCUCCCAUAGAUCAUUCCGUUGUACGAGCAGAAAAGCAAUAUGUGCCCAAGUGUCGACACCUCUUCGAAUCGAGAGAAAUGUCAUCGAAAUAUCUCUUUACAAAUUUACAACCAUCUCGUACCUUCGCGGUCGAUAAAUCCUGCUGAUCAUCGCGAGUCCGUCUUUGUGAGCAUUCCUCUGCCGGUCAUCUUACCUGAAACAAUAGAGAACAAUCUUCGAUAAUAACGAAAACGUUCUGACGUAUUAAGUUUGUACUUUAAUAAAUUGUUAUUAAAUAACUGUGAUAAAAUUGUUAGCGAUAAUUUGAUUUACAUAUUUAUGCAUAUUUAUUUUAAUUGCUUGAAAUUCGAUUUUACAUCAGAUCGUAUUAGAGAGAAGAAAAUGGGACAAAGACAAACGAGAGAAGAAGACCGAACGGUAAGUCGAGGUCCGGAAAGUCUAAACUUUUUACAGCGGUGUUAGCGCAUUUAAUUUAUCUGGCGAUAAUGGAGACGAGGCAGCGGUGUUGCGUUGAGGAGAAGAAGAAACGAAGAAAGAAGAGAAGAAGGAAGGGUGAAAACCUCGAGCCACGAGAAGAACAGAGAAUCCUUAUUAAAAUUCAUUAAUUUCGCCCAUCUAUGAAAGUUUCAUUUUCAUGCAAAUCUGAGGAAUAAUCCGGCUGAAAAAAACCAAUUUGAAUGACUUCGGAAGAGUCGUGCCGGUCGCUAGGGAAACUUGCUUGUUGUGCGAGAGAAUGAACGUGCGUACGCACAAGUUUGCCUCUGUAAGUGUGUACGAUAAAGAAAGAUAGAAUAAACGGUACGUCAAACGUGGCAGGAUAAAGCGACAUCGUAUUCUUACUAAACGGUAUUAUGCAAAUGACGAUCCCAACGCAUGAAAUUUUGGAUAGCACGAAAAUAAAACUAAUGUGAUGGAGAAGAAAAGCUAUUUCCUGUAGAGCCUCGUAAAAACGAUGGAGAAUAAGAGAAAGAGAAAUAGGAGAGAGAGAGAGAAAGAAUGAUUGUGAAAAAAGGGUGAGGGGUUGUUCGCAGAGAGUAGAACGAGCGAACAAAUCGUCACGACAGGAAUCUGGGCCGACGUGCAAUGAGUGAUCGCGCGUUUCCAGUGGUAACCUCGAGAGAAGCGAAAUUUUCCGACCGACAGCCACGUCAAAACGAUUUGUCGUCGGCCUUCUAAAGAGAAAUGCGAGUCACUCUCCCUUCUCUCUUCUUGUGGGCGGACGACAACCAUUUCCUCGAGUCUCAAGAAAUCACCCCUUGCUCCUGUUUGCUCCUAUCUUUGCUUUUGCACACGUGCAUUCAUGAAGGACAUACGCAAACUCGAAGGAGUACAAGCUUCUGUCGAUUCUCUUUUUUUUAUUUCUUCUUCUUCGUCUUAUUUUCUUUUCUCUUUUCUUCUCUUUCUUUUACCAUUUUCUCAGACCCUUCUUAUCUGUUUGCUAUUUAUUUAGGAGGAUCGGACGAAUGGCACUCGACUGAUACCAAGCGGACAAACCCAAGCGAUGCUGGAAUCACCUCUUAAGAAUACACAUGCCCCAGCCCUUCGAUGAAGCGCCCUUUUGCCUCGGCAGCAUCGUUCUAGGGCGCAUACGCGAAUACACAUAAAAAUAUGCGGACUUGCGAGGCUGCACGAGUUCGCUGCAUAAUCAUGCAGUCGAUGAACGCGAGGGAGUUAACCAUGCGAGAAAGGAUAGGGCAGGGAAAAAGAAAUUUACGGGGAUCCGCAUCGAGGAAAUAAUCGUCGAGUUCUGAUAGGUUCGUAGAAUAUGAAAUAAAUCGACAAAUAUCAGAGCGAUUUGGAAGCAUUCGACAAAUCGACAGAGGAAGAUACUCGAUAAGGGAGAUACACGAAGUUUCCAUUCGUCUUACCUUAGCGAAUCGGAGGUCUGCCCGCUGUCAAGAUAAAGGAUGUUUAGGACAGUUGGCUGAGUUCGACGAUCGAUGAACCUCUUCUUCCUGUCAAAACACCACAUACAACGGUUACCGUUCCUUUUAAGAGAUAUGGACAACUCUCAAGGGAAGAAAUUGUUGGACGAUGAAUCAAGAGUUGAAAAGGUGUCGAACGACGGCUGUCGGCCAUUAUUGUUGUUUCUUCUUCGACUAUACUACGUCUAUAUUUUUAUUAUUGCGAUGGUUGAAGAAAAGACAUUUAGUAAUUGUUUUUCUGUUAUUCGUUUGUUCGAAGUUUUAAAGAGAAAACGAAAA
RNAcentral lists this long non-coding RNA (2729 nucleotides) under Polistes fuscatus (common paper wasp). RNAcentral describes it as "uncharacterized LOC122516704". Lineage: Eukaryota; Metazoa; Arthropoda; Insecta; Hymenoptera; Vespidae. The record is from RNAcentral.